GACGAACGCUGGCGGCGUGCUUAACACAUGCAAGUCGAGCGGUAAGGCCCUUCGGGGUACACGAGCGGCGAACGGGUGAGUAACACGUGGGUGAUCUGCCUCGCACUUCGGGAUAAGCCUGGGAAACUGGGUCUAAUACCGGAUAUGACCACGGAUCGCAUGGUUUGUGGUGGAAAGGUUUACUGGUGCGAGAUGGGCCCGCGGCCUAUCAGCUUGUUGGUGGGGUAAUGGCCUACCAAGGCGACGACGGGUAGCCGGCCUGAGAGGGCGACCGGCCACACUGGGACUGAGACACGGCCCAGACUCCUACGGGAGGCAGCAGUGGGGAAUAUUGCACAAUGGGCGAAAGCCUGAUGCAGCGACGCCGCGUGAGGGAUGACGGCCUUCGGGUUGUAAACCUCUUUCGACAGGGACGAAGCGCAAGUGACGGUACCUGUAGAAGAAGCACCGGCCAACUACGUG
RNAcentral lists this ribosomal RNA (462 nucleotides) under Nocardia amamiensis. RNAcentral's name for it is "bacterial SSU rRNA". It matches the Rfam family "Bacterial small subunit ribosomal RNA", at positions 28 to 507 of the family's 1533-position model. Lineage: Bacteria; Bacillati; Actinomycetota; Actinomycetes; Mycobacteriales; Nocardiaceae. The record is from RNAcentral.